AUAGCUCACUGGUAGAGCACAUGCUUAGCACGCACGGGAUCCUGAGUUCAAACCUCAGU
RNAcentral lists this transfer RNA (59 nucleotides) under Camelus ferus (Wild Bactrian camel). It matches the Rfam family "tRNA", at positions 7 to 64 of the family's 71-position model. Rfam says of the family: Transfer RNA (tRNA) molecules are approximately 80 nucleotides in length. Their secondary structure includes four short double-helical elements and three loops (D, anti-codon, and T loops). Further hydrogen bonds mediate the characteristic L-shaped molecular structure. tRNAs have two regions of fundamental functional importance: the anti-codon, which is responsible for specific mRNA codon recognition, and the 3' end, to which the tRNAs corresponding amino acid is attached (by aminoacyl-tRNA synthetases). tRNAs cope with the degeneracy of the genetic code in two manners: having more than one tRNA (with a specific anti-codon) for a particular amino acid; and 'wobble' base-pairing, i.e. permitting non-standard base-pairing at the 3rd anti-codon position. The record is from Rfam by way of RNAcentral. Lineage: Eukaryota; Metazoa; Chordata; Mammalia; Artiodactyla; Camelidae.